GUAGGAUUAAAGUACAGAUGAUUCCAUUUUACAAUUGCAAACGAUCGCCUGCGACGGUUCAAGUUCUGUUCAGCUCAAAAGACUAUUUUGCGUCCAAAUGAAAAGUGAUUCACAGUCACGGGUGAAAACAAAUGCUGUUCAACCAUGUGGAUCGAUAAGUCUGGGGACUAAGAUGAAGUUUAAUCUGAGCGCCGUUUGCUCAAUGUGUUUCAUGGCCAUUCUUUGCUUAAAGCUGUUUAACUUUUGGUUAGAACCACCAGCCAACACUGCACAACUUAAAAGCCUUGUUAGGAAGCGCAGCGCUUUCCUCCUUGAAUUAAUGUUCUUUUUGUUUUCACGCAGCUUGUCAGCAAAAGGUCAGGGGCCGGGCCGAUGUCAGGUCAUUGGAGCCCAGGAACGUGGCGAUGAUGCCGUUCUGGUCCACCUUCCGGAUGGUGGUGCCAUCCACAAAGUAAAUCAGGCCGUUCUUGUCCACGGCGAUGCCUGUUGACAUCAGGCUGGAGAAAAACACCAUCUGAAGACCCACUGGGAGACUUGUGUGGGGACAUGUGAUACGGCUGAGGGAGAAGCGGCGGCGGAAAAAUAAAAAAAGACUAAACCGCAACACAUGUUUUAUUCUCUGUGCUAUAGGAGAUACAAGUUUACCACCGAGCGCUGGAACUUGACCACACACUAAAAUCAAUUCCUGCUUUUUGACUUAUACCGAAGCGUCUUAAAAAAUACAACAAUGACCUCUAAGCGUCUGCGUCUCCUGUUGCAGACGUCAGAGUCACCGCUGCAGAGUGAAGUCGAGCGGCUGCGCUCUCAUUGUUCCGCAGACUUUUUUAUAAUGUACGCCCUGCAAAGGCUGUCGAUAAAUUAUUCACCCUAUAACCUCCAAUGAAUGUUUGAUAAAUGUGGGGCUCCAAACAAACUCCGCCACUGCUGCGGACUACUUCAUUAUGCCACUCGUCUCAAAAUAAUAUUUCAUGUGCGCCGUGUUUGUGCCGAUAAGAUACAAUGAAAAAAAAAAAGGUAAUUAAUUUUGUCAAAUUUAGCUGCCGAGCGUCUCGAAUGCGCCACAAUGUUUUGACUGUAAAACUAACUUCUACAAGGAGAUAAAAAGGCAAAUGAAUAUUCCCGAGCAAGAGAGUUAAUGCUACUGCCAGACAUGAAAUCGACAGUAAGCUGAAGACAAUGAGGAUGAGGAUUACUAAGAACCCGGCUGGGGGGGUAUCGCCUCAUUCUAUAUUUUCAGUAAAGCAUGCUAUUUACAUAAGGAUUACUUUAAACUAUUGGAGGAAAUAUUCCCAAAGCCUCGCGCACACAGUUGGCAAUCAUUUCCCUCUCCAUCACUCACAAAACAAACUCUACUCCUGAUUCUGAACAGAUGUGGGAGAGCAUGAGGUCUUGGGGAAAAACAUAACUCUGUCUCCUGCGUUUGAUG
Betta splendens (Siamese fighting fish) is the source of this 1426-nucleotide long non-coding RNA. RefSeq lists it as uncharacterized. NCBI's taxonomy places the organism in Eukaryota, Metazoa, Chordata, Actinopteri, Anabantiformes, Osphronemidae. The record is from RefSeq and is a predicted model, not a curated record. The transcript has 3 exons.